RNAcentral lists this ribosomal RNA (374 nucleotides) under uncultured bacterium. Its description in RNAcentral is "bacterial SSU rRNA". It matches the Rfam family "Bacterial small subunit ribosomal RNA", at positions 524 to 898 of the family's 1533-position model. The record is from RNAcentral.
GACGUAGGGGGCCAGCGUUGCUCGGAAUUACUGGGCGUAAAGGGUUCGUAGGCGGUGUGGCAAGUCGGAAGUGAAAUCUCUAGGCUCAACCUAGAGGCUGCUCCCGAAACUGCCAUGCUAGAGUGCGGGAGAGGCGAGUGGAAUUACAGGUGUAGCGGUGAAAUGCGUAGAUAUCUGUAGGAACACCCGUGGCGAAGGCGGCUCGCUGGACCGCAACUGACGCUGAGGAACGAAAGCUAGGGGAGCAAACAGGAUUAGAUACCCUGGUAGUCCUAGCCCUAAACGAUCAGGACUUGGGGUGCAUCCCGUUGGGGGUGCGUCCCGUAGCUAACGCGUUAAGUCCUGCGCCUGGGGAGUACGGUCGCAAGACUGAA